Molecule: long non-coding RNA, 809 nt
Organism: Oncorhynchus keta (chum salmon)
Lineage: Eukaryota; Metazoa; Chordata; Actinopteri; Salmoniformes; Salmonidae
Exons: 3
Source: RefSeq, a predicted model, not a curated record
GUGGAGCUGCUCUCCCUGAGCAUUUGUCCCGUCUGUGUUCAGAGUGAGGUCCUGGAGAAGCAGUGUGGUCUCAGUCAGAUAGAUGGUACCGUGGUUUCCCCAUCGCCGAAACCAACACAGACCGAGCAACACCAAGAAGCCUUACCCCCUAGUUCUGGGACCACAGCGAGUGCUGGCGAGGCUACCCAAAACAAAGCUUGGUUUCUAUUGCUCCCUGCUGUUCUGUGUCUGUGGAUGUAAAGCGGAAGGUAUGUGUCUCUCCUGUCCCCUCACACAAACUCUCCUGUCCCCUCACACAAACUCUCCUGUCCCCUCACACAAGCUCUCCUGUCCCCUCACACAAACUCUCCUGUCCCCUCACACAAACUCUCCUGUCCCCUCACACAAACUCUCCUGUCCCCUCACACAAACUCUCCUGUCUCCUCACACAAACUACUGUCAUUGAGCAGACGCUCGAUUUACAAUCAGUGCAUUAAUCUUAAAAUAGCUAGGUGAGACAACAUCAAAGAUGUGAACACAUAUUUUUAUGACCUAAUGAUUAAUUGUUAUCUAAGAGGAUGUUUGUUUCAGUAUAAAUUAGGCCAGACAUUCUACCAUUCGUCAGUGUUCAGUCUAUUUAGAGAAUCCUGGAUUAUGGUUCAAAAUGUUCAAAAAGCUCUACAACAAAAAAUGUGGAAUAUGAUUAUAGCUAAUGGCAUGGCAACAAAGAAACUUUCUACACACACACACAUAGUGACUCUAAACCGCAGGACGGCCUCAGCUUUCAUAGGAAAACCAUUACUUUCCAUUCCAGAUUAUAGUUAGUGUUC